Vombatus ursinus (common wombat) is the source of this 32-nucleotide microRNA. NCBI's taxonomy places the organism in Eukaryota, Metazoa, Chordata, Mammalia, Diprotodontia, Vombatidae. The record is from Ensembl.
UCCCUGCCCUCAAGGAGCUCACAGUCGAAUGG